UUUAAGUGCAAUCAUGAGUUUCGCCCAACUUUAAUCAUCUGUUUUAUUUGAACUUUUUAUAAAUAGUAUUUUUAUUGUUAUGAGAUUAUAAAAUUUAAAUAAGACGGAUGAUUAAAGUUGGACACGAAAACUCAUGGCUACACUUACA
This is a microRNA precursor of Oryza sativa Japonica Group (Japanese rice), 148 nucleotides long. It matches the Rfam family "MIR812 microRNA precursor family". The record is from Rfam. NCBI's taxonomy places the organism in Eukaryota, Viridiplantae, Streptophyta, Magnoliopsida, Poales, Poaceae.